AUAAUUUUUGGGUCGGUGACUCCUCUGUAUAUUGGCAUGCGGGCAUACUGGAAUGUGGCUUUUCCUUGUUCUGUUUUCUAUUGGUGGGAGUCUCAAGCGCAACUCAGGCCAAAUCUUGACAGGAACCGUGGCUUCCUAGCUGUUAUGGUUAGAUACGACCGCAUGAAGGGAAGGCCAAUACUUUGGCUUCCUGGCAU
Long non-coding RNA from Neltuma alba, 197 nucleotides. RefSeq lists it as uncharacterized. The transcript is spliced from 3 exons. Lineage: Eukaryota; Viridiplantae; Streptophyta; Magnoliopsida; Fabales; Fabaceae. The record is from RefSeq and is a predicted model, not a curated record.